UCUAAUGUGGCAGAAUAGUGUAAUGAACUUAAAAUUCAUAAAUGAAAUUUUUUUUCUUUUAGAA
This 64-nucleotide transfer RNA is filed under the name Epeurysa nawaii. RNAcentral's name for it is "tRNA-Leu". It matches the Rfam family "tRNA". Rfam says of the family: Transfer RNA (tRNA) molecules are approximately 80 nucleotides in length. Their secondary structure includes four short double-helical elements and three loops (D, anti-codon, and T loops). The record is from RNAcentral. Lineage: Eukaryota; Metazoa; Arthropoda; Insecta; Hemiptera; Delphacidae.